Molecule: long non-coding RNA, 977 nt
Filed under: Neogobius melanostomus (round goby)
Lineage: Eukaryota; Metazoa; Chordata; Actinopteri; Gobiiformes; Gobiidae
Description: lncRNA (ENSNMLG00000009771.1)
Source: RNAcentral
AGGUACACUAACAUCACAAUAAGACAACAAAUAGGGACAACAUACAUACAGUCCCGACUGUUGUCGUACUCUGCGUGCCAUAUCACGCUACACCACGCAGUGGCGCUCUAAUCCUAUUACCAGAAUUUAACGUAACCUUUACACUCUGUUACACGUGCCGUAAAAUCCGUGGGUGAGGCCUCCUCAAACAUUAAUAUUUUUGGGCGUUUCAUUCAAAUGACGCUAGGAUUUCUCCGUGGCAUUUACUAUCAGCUGUGCUUGCGUACGAUAAGAUCUGAGCGGAAAGCACAGGUUCAUAAAUGUCACGCGCCCUCUGGCGUAUAUCGCAAAUACACCUACGCAUACACCAUUUUUUUACGCAAUGUUGAUAAAUGAGGGCCAUUAAGAAGAGAGUUUAAAUGAGUGUAUGGCGAUGCAGCCCCGAGUCCGAGCAGAGAAAACAUGAGAGCAGCGCCCGGGACACGGGUGACAUGCAGGAAGGGAGGCGAGCACCGGGAGACAGACAGACAAGCGGGGACGCGAAGGGGAGAAGCACUCGCGCCUGGGAGCGACAGGGGGAAGACAGCAGGGACCGAGGACGCACACCCGCUGAGCUGCUGUGUCUCUCUGCGUCUGGUAACCGCUCUCUCCACGCGGUCUCCUCGGGAUCCACCUCUCCUCCAGGACCGACCUCCAACAUGAACCUCUUCUGCUUUUCACUGGAGGGGUCCAUGGACAGUUUAUAUGAGGCGGUGCAGGCCUCUAGUGACGUUCCGCUACAGCCUGUCCCGAGCCGUGCCUCCAGCCGCCCCUGCAGUCGCACUGUGAGCCGCUCUGGAAGUCCUGCAGUCCUGCUCGAUGAUCACAAGAAAUGGAGAGGCUCGGGGAAGUCUAUUUCUGUGGAUAUGCCUCAGUUGAACACGACCACUAAUAAAAAGAAAAAAGGUAAGCUCAAGCAACAGUUUGGCCACUGAGAGCUGACGUUUUCAACAAAUAAU